AGGAAGCCCUGUGUGUUGCCAAAUCGAAGUGGAAAUGGGAGCCCAGGUGCUGGAUAUCAAAUUGAUGAUGGCAUGCUAGAGAGUCUGAGUGCACUGACCAGAUUUUGCAACUUAAUAUCUUCUGAACUGGACAUUGUCAAGGUUGUACAAAGUUUAUAAUUGAGCAGUUUUGGUUGACUCACUGUGUUAUUCACUUAGCUUUGCCAGUUGUCCCCCUUAUCUGUCCACUCAUGAACUGUUUUUCUAUUUUCCACAUUGAAAUCCCAGUGGUUUCUGAGUGUCAACUUUCUAGGCUCAUGGUAACCUUUUUGACAUCAAGCAGAUUUUUUU
RNAcentral lists this long non-coding RNA (330 nucleotides) under Marmota monax (woodchuck). The record is from RNAcentral. Lineage: Eukaryota; Metazoa; Chordata; Mammalia; Rodentia; Sciuridae.